GACGAACGCUGGCGGCGUGCCUAAUACAUGCAAGUCGAACGAGAGCGACCGGUGCUUGCACUGGUCAAUCUAGUGGCGAACGGGUGAGUAACACGUGGGUAACCUGCCCGUCAGAGGGGGAUAACAUUCGGAAACGGAUGCUAAAACCGCAUAGGUCUUCGAACCGCAUGGUUUGAAGAGGAAAAGAGGCGCAAGCUUCUGCUGAUGGAUGGACCCGCGGUGCAUUAGCUAGUUGGUGAGGUAACGGCUCACCAAGGCCGUGAUGCAUAGCCGACCUGAGAGGGUGAUCGGCCACAUUGGGACUGAGACACGGCCCAAACUCCUACGGGAGGCAGCAGUAGGGAAUCUUCCGCAAUGGACGCAAGUCUGACGGAGCAACGCCGCGUGAGUGAAGAAGGUUUUCGGAUCGUAAAACUCUGUUGUUAGAGAAGAACAAGUGCUAGAGUAACUGUUAGCGCCUUGACGGUAUCUAACCAGAAAGCCACGGCUAACUACGUG
Molecule: ribosomal RNA, 498 nt
Filed under: uncultured bacterium
Lineage: Bacteria
Description: partial 16S ribosomal RNA
Rfam family: Bacterial small subunit ribosomal RNA
Source: RNAcentral